Molecule: long non-coding RNA, 2994 nt
Organism: Astyanax mexicanus (Mexican tetra)
Lineage: Eukaryota; Metazoa; Chordata; Actinopteri; Characiformes; Acestrorhamphidae
Exons: 2
Source: RefSeq, a predicted model, not a curated record
UAGAUUCUUCAAAGUAUCUCCUCUUGUUUAGAUGAUCAGUUUUGAACAUCUCUGCUGGAUUUUCUCAGUCAGUUUUAUGAGGUAGAGUCUCCUGGAAUUCAGGCUUUCAGUUAACAGCUGUGCUGAACUCAUCAAGAGUUAAUUACUUGAAUUUCUUGUCUCUUAAUAAAGUGUUUGAGAGCAUCAGUUAAAGUAAAGUAGUGAAGAGGUAGAGUUACAGGUAUACAGUGAAUAGUGAAUAUUAGAGUAAUGUUCGAAUCCAGAUUAUUAACUAAAUAAAGAAUAAAAAAAUGACUUUAAGAAGAAAUGAAGGUCAGUCAAUCCAAAAAAAAAACAAUUUCAGGAACUUUGAAAGUGUUCCCAAGUGCAGUCACCAAAAAAGACCAUUAAAAACGCUAUGAUGGUGAAACUGGCACUCAUCAGGAACGCACCAGGAAAGGAAGAUCGAGAGUAUUUUUGUUUAACACUUUUAAGUUACUACAUAAUUCCUAUGUGUUUCCUCAUAGUCUGAAUCACUUUACUAUCAGAAGGUGUGUCUAAACUUUUGACUGGUACUGUAAAAAAUAUAUAUAUAAAUAUAUAUAUAUAUAUAAAAGGGUGUCCACAAACAUGUUGUACAUGUAGUGUAUGUACACGACUCUGUAUUGGAUGUGCCUUAUUCACAAAAACCAGCGCUGACUGAAACACUCUUUAUAACUUCAGCAGGAGUGGGCGGGGCUAAACUGCUGUAGGCUGAAUGUGAGGAUUAUGUGUAGGUGGGAUGUUUUUCAGGAGAGGCUGUUUUUUAUUUUUUAUUUAAUUGAUUUUUAAAUCCUGCUUAAGAAAAUCUAUUUAAAAGAUAAUUUCUGCUUUUUAAAUUCUGAACAAAAAACACCAACACCUCCCUGUUCUUCCGCUUGCUUUUCCACUUGGAUAUGUGAGUAUACUCCACUUUAAAAUACUUUUAUCUAUACUAAAUAUUACAUACUCAAAAGUGUGUAGUUAGUAUUAGGAAUUAGUCUUGGUGCAGCCUUGUUUUCUCUUUGUCUCUCUCUCUCUCUUUCUGUAGUUUAAUGGUUGAGAGUAGAUGGUGUGUGUGAGAGGACAGCAGAUGGAAGGAGUGUGUGUGUGUGUGUGUGUGUGUGUGUGUGUGUGUGUGUGUGGGUGUGUGUGUUGGCUGGCUGCCGUGAAAACGUGAAAAGAGUGAAUGCUGCUGUGCUGCAGACGAAUGACAAGACUGACGCGUGCCUGGCACACAGCCAGCGUGUGUGUGUGUGUGUGUGUGUGUGUGAUGUAGAACACACACACACACACACACACACACAUCUACACACUUACAUGUACACACACGCACACACACACACAUCAAUUGGUAGUUAUGAAGUGAUCUAUCAUAAAGUGUGUGUGUGAAAGUGAAACCGCCGUUGUUCACCUGACCCAUGUCACAUUAUUGUGUGUGUGUGUGUGUGUGUGUGUGCACACAACUACUGAGGCCACGUCCACACAAACACACUUUGGCCCCUGUUUUUGUUUGAUUUAGGGCGUGUCAGUGUGUCUUUGCUAUCGUAACGACGGGAAAAGUACAGCUUGCGAGGCUCAAAACAAAGCGCAAAAGUCAUGUACUAAUUCUCUAUUUAAUUAAUCAUGGGUGUGGUUAAUUUUGGGCGUCACGUAAAAUAAACCAAUCAGAUUGUAUCUUGCUCAUCAUUCCCUUUAAGAGUCAGGUGAGCUCUGAACAUCAAUUCCACUAGAAGUAUCCGCAAGCAUCUCCCUGUAGUAUAAAUUCGCCUGAUUUGACAAUUUACUGCCAAGAUAGCGAUGAACGUCUGAUUGCUGGUGUCUGUCUAGGUUGUAUUCAGUCAGUGGAGCUCCUGUGUUUUCUGUUACCAAGAUAAACAAGCAAAACUCCAGAAAUGUACCUGAACACACCUCAUUUCCAGAACACCACGCCCAUCAGUGUAGAUAUAUUCAGAAGCUCUGCUGCUGUUUAAACAAGCAGUGAAAAUAGGCUGUUGUUUGGGGGUGUAAGAUAGCAAUGAGCAUCACAAUUUGCCUUGUGCAGAAUGUAAGAAAGGCACUGAUCAGCAUCCAGACAAUAGAGUAUAUAUAAGUGUGGACAGUACAUUCUCAUUAUAAAGCCAGAUCAUGUGACCUUAAUAUGGGUGGAGCUUGCAUACUUUACAAAAGAAAACUGGCAAAAAAAUGCUGAAUGUGUAAUUUUAAAUCAAAGUUUUAUGUUUUCUUCACAUCAAAAUAUGCAGGGUUAAAAGCUGUACUGCAACCAGCCACCAGGGGGCGUAAGAAAAACGUUAGAUUCACUUCCCAACCACUCGACUGUUUUUAAUCUAAACUCUAUAAUUCAGAAUAUAAUUUUCAGAAGAUUAUUAAAGCUCAUGGAGAACCUUGAGAUCUUGGUUCCUCCCAGAUCUUUAGUUUUUUGUUUAAUUUCGAAACAUUUUAUAUUGUGGGCGUGGCCUGAACAGGCGUUCUCUCCCUGUAUAAAGGUGCUCACUGUCUGUCUGUCUGUCUGUCUGCAGUAUUUUAUUCCACAGGUGUGAAAGGUGUAAAUACACGAGUGAUAUUCUAUUUCUAUUAAAUGAAAUCAAUUUAAAAAAUAUAAAAUAAAAGCCGUGCUGUUCAGGGAGUCACACAAAAGAAGCACAUUCCACUGUUUUAUACUGAAAUCACUAUUUUUAAUAAAUGAAUGAUUGUAAUGUUGUAAAGGACAGUGUUUGUGUGCUUUGGUAUAAUUUAACAUGUUAUGCACUGGAAUGUAAUGAUGUCGUGUCUUCGUGCUUUAUUAUAAAUUACUGUUUUUAUUUUUAUAUGAGGCUGUGUGAAUUUCUUUACAGUCUAAACAUUCAAACGUCUACAUGUGUGUGAAUUAUAUUUGAUCAAUAAUGAAUGUAACAGUCUUAAAGAGUGGACUCUAUAUACAGUAGAAACAAAGACACUUACAGUAAAUAUCCAUUUAAAUGCAUGAAACAAUUCUUUGGUUAAAAGGUUCUUCAGUUU